Molecule: non-coding RNA, 84 nt
Organism: Bombyx mori (domestic silkworm)
Lineage: Eukaryota; Metazoa; Arthropoda; Insecta; Lepidoptera; Bombycidae
Source: Rfam
UUAGCUCAAAUUUGUAUAGAAUGGGAUCGUUUUCCUACGUUUGCCGCUAGGGGCGCUGUUCCAACUGCAUACAAAAUUAGGUUA